GGUUCCAUAGUGUAGCAGUUAUCAUGUCUGCUUUACAUGCAGAAGGCCCUGGGUACAUACCCCAGUGGAGCAA
This 73-nucleotide transfer RNA is filed under the name Pteropus alecto (black flying fox). It matches the Rfam family "tRNA". Rfam says of the family: Transfer RNA (tRNA) molecules are approximately 80 nucleotides in length. Lineage: Eukaryota; Metazoa; Chordata; Mammalia; Chiroptera; Pteropodidae. The record is from Rfam by way of RNAcentral.